Molecule: ribosomal RNA, 253 nt
Filed under: Salmonella enterica
Lineage: Bacteria; Pseudomonadati; Pseudomonadota; Gammaproteobacteria; Enterobacterales; Enterobacteriaceae
Description: partial 23S ribosomal RNA
Rfam family: Bacterial large subunit ribosomal RNA
Source: RNAcentral
GACCGGAGUGGACGCAUCACUGGUGUUCGGGUUGUCAUGCCAAUGGCACUGCCCGGUAGCUAAAUGCGGAAAAGAUAAGUGCUGAAAGCAUCUAAGCACGAAACUUGCCCCGAGAUGAGUUCUCCCUGAGACUUUGAGUCUCCUGAAGGAACGUUAAAGACGAUGACGUUGAUAGGCCGGGUGUGUAAGCGCAGCGAUGCGUUGAGCUAACCGGUACUAAUGAACCGUGAGGCUUAACCUUACAACGCCGAAG